GACGAACGCUGGCGGCGUGCUUAACACAUGCAAGUCGAACGGAAAGGCCCUGCUUUGGUGGGGUGCUCGAGUGGCGAACGGGUGAGUAACACGUGAGUAACCUGCCCGUGACUUUGGGAUAACUUCAGGAAGCUGGGGCUAAUACCGGACAGGAGCUCCUGCUGCAUGGUGGGGGCUGGAAAGUUUCGGCGGUUGGGGAUGGACUCGCGGCUUAUCAGCUUGGGGGGGGGGUAGUGGCUUACCAGGGCCUUGCAGGGUAGGCGGCCUGAGAGGGUGACCGGCCACAAUGGGCCUGCGGUACGGCGCAGACUCGUACGGGAGGCAGCAGUGGAGAACAUGGCACAAUGGGCGCGCGUCUGAUGCAGCAACGCUCCGUUCGGGAUGACGGCCUUCGGGUUGUAAAACGCUUUCGCCUGUGACGAAGCGUGAGUGACGGUAAUGGGUAAAGAAGCACCGGCUAACUACGUG
RNAcentral lists this ribosomal RNA (468 nucleotides) under uncultured bacterium. RNAcentral describes it as "partial 16S ribosomal RNA". It matches the Rfam family "Bacterial small subunit ribosomal RNA", at positions 28 to 507 of the family's 1533-position model. The record is from RNAcentral.